CUGCAUUAUCUAUAACGGAGAAGUCGUUGGAAGCCGGCGGAUGAACUGAUAGACGUUUGAAAAAACUAGUGAUACGGUGGGUACCUUUCAUCGUUGGCAGAACUGUUGGACAAUAAAGAGAGACAGGAAGAAACUAAAGCGAGACAGGGUCAAAAAUUCGUGUUGAGAGCGGCGGUGAUGUCGCGACUCCGGCGGUGAUGUCGCGAUUCCGGUAGAUCUGAGCAAUCCCCGAUACACAAAAUCGGAAUCUGAGUGGGACUUGUCUAGAUCUAUGAUGACUGCUUAGUUUGAAAGGCUAGAACUACGAUGGAAUUACGCCGGAGACGAUGAGUUCGGCUGACGGGAGAUGUAGGGUUUUUUACAGAAAAAAUGUGUCUUCGGUAAAAUAUAAAAAACAAAUUACAGUAAUUAAUAAAAGAAAAAACAAACAAAAAAAGUUAAUCGUUGGGUUUGUUGGGGUAACAAGCUUUCAUUAGUUGAAAGGGUAGUAAUGAAAUAUCACAUAAGAAAACGGUGCCUUGGACACAAACGGUGUCUUCCUGUUAUACAAAACACAUAAACGGUGUCUGCUUGCUAUAUUUUC
This 583-nucleotide long non-coding RNA is filed under the name Capsella grandiflora. Its description in RNAcentral is "long non-coding RNA (CGRA_LNC000122)". The record is from RNAcentral. Lineage: Eukaryota; Viridiplantae; Streptophyta; Magnoliopsida; Brassicales; Brassicaceae.